This 275-nucleotide ribosomal RNA is filed under the name uncultured prokaryote. RNAcentral's name for it is "partial 16S ribosomal RNA". It matches the Rfam family "Bacterial small subunit ribosomal RNA", at positions 524 to 798 of the family's 1533-position model. The record is from RNAcentral.
GACGAACCGUCCAAACGUUAUUCGGAAUCACUGGGCUUAAAGGGUGCGUAGGCGGCUCUGAAAGUUGGGUGUGAAAGCCCUCGGCUCAACCGAGGAAUUGCGCCCAAAACUACAGAGCUAGAGGAAGACAGAGGUGAGCGGAACUUAGGGUGGAGCGGUGAUAUGCGUUGAGAUCCUAAGGAACACCAGUAGCGAAAGCGGCUCACUGGGUCUUUCUGACGCUGAGUGCACGAAAGCUAGGGGAGCGAAGAGGAUUAGAUACCCGGGUAGUCCCU